This 948-nucleotide ribosomal RNA is filed under the name Verrucaria andesiatica. Its description in RNAcentral is "eukaryotic LSU rRNA". It matches the Rfam family "Eukaryotic large subunit ribosomal RNA", at positions 1 to 961 of the family's 3401-position model. Lineage: Eukaryota; Fungi; Ascomycota; Eurotiomycetes; Verrucariales; Verrucariaceae. The record is from RNAcentral.
GGUUGACCUCGGAUCAGGUAGGGAUACCCGCUGAACUUAAGCAUAUCAAUAAGCGGAGGAAAAGAAACCAACAGGGAUUGCCUCAGUAACGGCGAGUGAAGCGGCAACAGCUCAAAUUUGAAAUCUGGCCUUUCUGGGGUCCGAGUUGUAAUUUGUAGAGGAUGCUUCGGGCAAGGCUGUGGUCUAAUUCGCUUGGAACAGCGGGUCAAAGAGGGUGAGAAUCCCGUCUAGGAUCGUGUGCCGCGUCCAUGUGAAGCUCCUUCGACGAGUCGAGUUGUUUGGGAAUGCAGCUCUAAAUGGGUGGUAAAUUUCAUCUAAAGCUAAAUAUUGGCCAGAGACCGAUAGCGAACAAGUAGAGUGAUCGAAAGAUGAAAAGCACUUUGAAAAGAGAGUUAAACAGUAUGUGAAAUUGUUGAAAGGGAAGCGCUUGCAAUCAGACUUGUGGCUGACGGUUCCCCCGGCCCUCGUGGCCGGGCUACUCCGUCGUGUCCAGGCCAACAUCGGUCUGGGUGGCCGGUUAAAGACCCUGGGAAUGUAUCUACCUUCGGGUCGACUUAUAGCCCAGGGUGGAAUGCGGCCCACCCGGACCGAGGAACGCGCUUCGGCUCGGAUGUUGGCGUAAUGGUUGCAAGCGGCCCGUCUUGAAACACGGACCAAGGAGUCUAACAUCUAUGCGAGUGUUUGGGUGUCAAACCCCUACGCGGAAUGAAAGUGAACGGAGGUAAGAACCCCGCAAGGGGCGCAUUAUCGACCGAUCCUGAUGUCUUCGGAUGGAUUUGAGUAAGAGCAUAGCUGUUGGGACCCGAAAGAUGGUGAACUAUGCCUGAAUAGGGUGAAGCCAGAGGAAACUCUGGUGGAGGCUCGCAGCGGUUCUGACGUGCAAAUCGAUCGUCAAAUUUGGGCAUAGGGGCGAAAGACUAAUCGAACCAUCUGGUAGCUGGUUCCUGU